RNAcentral lists this ribosomal RNA (485 nucleotides) under uncultured bacterium. Its description in RNAcentral is "partial 16S ribosomal RNA". It matches the Rfam family "Bacterial small subunit ribosomal RNA", at positions 29 to 523 of the family's 1533-position model. The record is from RNAcentral.
AGUGAACGCUGGCGGCGUGCUUACCACAUGCAAGUCGAACGAGAACGGAAUAUAGCUUGCUAUAUUUGUUAGCUACGUGGCGCAAGGGUGAGUAAUGUAUAGAUAACCUGCCCUAAAGAAAGGAAUAACAGGUGGAAACGACUGCUCAUGCCCUAUAUGCCUUUAAUAAAUAAGUAUGUAAGGGACAAGCUUUAGUGCUUAAGGAUGGGUCUGUAUGGUAUCAGCUUGUUGGUGAGGUAAUGGCUCACCAAGGCUAUGACGCAUAGCUGGUUUGAGAGGAUGAUCAGUCACACUGGAACUGAGACACGGUCCAGACUCCUACGGGAGGCAGCAGUGGGGAAUAUUGCACAAUGGACGAAAGUCUGAUGCAGCAACGCCGCGUGGAGGAUGACACAUUUCGGUGCGUAAACUCCUUUUAUAUAGGAAGAUAAUGACGGUACUAUAUGAAUAAGCACCGGCUAACUCCGUGCCAGCCGCCGCGGUAA